This 497-nucleotide ribosomal RNA is filed under the name uncultured bacterium. RNAcentral describes it as "partial 16S ribosomal RNA". It matches the Rfam family "Bacterial small subunit ribosomal RNA", at positions 28 to 507 of the family's 1533-position model. The record is from RNAcentral.
GAUGAACGCUGGCGGCGUGCCUAAUACAUGCAAGUCGAGCGAACAGACGAGGAGCUUGCUCCUCUGGCGUUAGCGGCGGACGGGUGAGUAACACGUGGAUAACCUACCUAUAAGACUGGGAUAACUUCGGGAAACCGGAGCUAAUACCGGAUAAUCUAUUGAACCGCAUGGUUCAAUAGUGAAAGACGGUUUUGCUGUCACUUAUAGAUGGAUCCGCGCCGCAUUAGCUGGUUGGUAAGGUAACGGCUUACCAAGGCAACGAUGCGUAGCCGACCUGAGAGGGUGAUCGGCCACACUGGAACUGAGACACGGUCCAGACUCCUACGGGAGGCAGCAGUAGGGAAUCUUCCGCAAUGGGCGAAAGCCUGACGGAGCAACGCCGCGUGAGUGAUGAAGGUCUUCGGAUCGUAAAACUCUGUUAUUAGGGAAGAACAAAUGUGUAAGUAACUAUGCACGUCUUGACGGUACCUAAUCAGAAAGCCACGGCUAACUACGUG